UUCUACUUUAGUGACCCUGUUCCAUUGUUUCUGGACCUGGUACAGGAUCACUUCAGUUAUAAGUAACGCAUGUGCAAGUUCUGUUCAAGCUACAUUUUGCUCGCUUUUAUUAGACAACGAAGCUUUAACACCGAAAGCUGCCACUAUUAGAAGUACUGACUUGUUGUGUGGAGGCUACCCAUGCUGUAAACGCAGUGCUAGAGCAUCCAGGGAGCUACUUUCAGUUGAUUUGCCGAUACAAAGAAGAAGAAAUACACCUUAGCUAACCUUGGAAUCCCACAAGAAGCUAGCCAGCCAGCUUGUAUAAGUUCCCUAACUGCUUUUGUUGAUCAAUGUUUCAGCGCUUGUCUCGUGUAUUGUAUUGUAAAAUUUGAUUAUUUUGUAUUUUUGUGUUUGAUUUGCGGCAUUCUUACACAUAUAUUUUCAUUUUUGCCGAUUGCCAGCAAAAAUAUACGGCCUACUCUGCUGCUUAAAGCGGCUGCUGCUCGAUAUAAAGUGGACUAAGCGGUUCCAAAAUGUGUCCAGUUUUGUCAAAAAAUCCACAAUUAUCAAUGACGUAUCGCAUUAUCUACACAUACCCAAGAGCUGCGUAGAGCCACUAAUUUGGGGAAUUCCCCAUUAAUCGCAAUGUACCAGCAAUGUAAAGUGAGUGUAUAUGGCUGCAACUUUCAGAACCUCCCCCACUGGGUCAUGCAGAUUACUGGAGAAGUAGUGUCUCUUGGCGUCAUCAUUAUUUUUCUCCACCCCUAGAGAAAAAGUAGGUCAGCAAACCUCACUGGGAGACGUUCCAGAAACUUCUUGGUGUCGUUCCCCUGCAGUGAUGUCCAUUCGUAAUGUCCAGAAGCUUUGCCAUCUGGACCCCUUGCUUCCCAUACCCUGAACGUGAUACCACAGUCUUUAACGAUCGUCUGUAGUGUUUGUAGGAAAAACUCAAGGCGGUACUCUGUUUCAUCAACAGUGAGUAGUGGGUGUGAAAAGAUGUCGUUCAACUCCUUCAAUACCUCAGAUAGUCCUGAACUAAUUGUUUCAUACGACUCUUCGGCUUUUAGGCCAGCAAAAGUAUGAUUGCCUGUAUGAAUGUCAAUAUAAAAAUAUUUUCACCACUUUCUCGUUUAAUAUUUUUAUUGUUAAGCUUACCCAUGCCUGAUAAAACAUUGUCUUGAAUUUC
Halichondria panicea is the source of this 1168-nucleotide long non-coding RNA. RefSeq lists it as uncharacterized. NCBI's taxonomy places the organism in Eukaryota, Metazoa, Porifera, Demospongiae, Suberitida, Halichondriidae. The transcript is spliced from 5 exons. The record is from RefSeq and is a predicted model, not a curated record.